RNAcentral lists this ribosomal RNA (254 nucleotides) under uncultured bacterium. RNAcentral describes it as "partial 16S ribosomal RNA". It matches the Rfam family "Bacterial small subunit ribosomal RNA", at positions 524 to 776 of the family's 1533-position model. The record is from RNAcentral.
UACGGGGGGGGCAAGCGUUGUUCGGAAUUACUGGGCGUAAAGGGCUCGUAGGCGGCCAACUAAGUCGGAUGUGAAAUCCCCAGGCUUAACCUGGGAACUGCAUCCGAUACUGGAUGGCUUGAAUCCGGGAGAGGGAUGCAGAAUUCCAGGUGUAGCGGUGAAAUGCGUAGAUAUCUGGAGGAAUACCGGUGGCGAAGGCGGCAUCCUGGACCGGCAUCGACGCUGAGUGAGCGAAAGCCAGGGGAGCAAACGGG